AGUCGAACGGUACGCGGGGGCACCUGGCGACGAGUGGCGAACGGGUGAGUAAUACAUCGGAACAUAUCCAGUAGCGGGGGAUAACCUGUCGAAAGAUGGACUAAUACCGCAUACGAUCUACGGAUGAAAGCAGGGUGACCGCAAGGCCUUGCACUAUUGGAGUGGCCGAUGUCGGAUUAGCUAGUUGGUGGGGUAAAAGCUUACCAAGGCAACGAUCCGUAGCUGGUCUGAGAGGACGAUCAGCCACACUGGAACUGAGACACGGUCCAGACUCCUACGGGAGGCAGCAGUGGGGAAUUUUGGACAAUGGGCGAAAGCCUGAUCCAGCCAUGCCGCGUGAGUGAAGAAGGCCUUCGGGUUGUAAAGCUCUUUCGGUGAAGACGAAACGGUUAGCGCUAAUAACGCUGACUAAUGACGGUACUCACAGAAGAAGCACCGGCUAACUACGUGCCAGCAGCCGCGGUAAUACGUAGGGUGCAGGCGUUAAUCGGAAUUACUGGGCGUAAAGGUGCGCAGCGGUUUGCUAAGACAGGUGUGAAAUCCCCGAGCUUAACUUGGGAAUUGCGCUUGUAACUAGCAGGCUAGAGUGUGGCAGAGGGGGGUGGAAUUCCACGUGUAGCAGUGAAAUGCGUAGAUAUGUGGAGGAACACCGAUGGCGAAGGCAGCCCCUGGGUUAACACUGACGCUCAGGCACGAAAGCGUGGGGAGCAAACAGGAUUAGAUACCUGGUAGUCCACGCCCUAAACUAUGUCAACUAGUUGUCGGGGAAGAAAUUCCUUGUAACGAAGCUAACGCGUGAAGUUGACCGCCUGGGGAGUACGCCGCAAGGUUAAAACUCAAAGGAAUUGACGGGGACCCGCACAAGCGGUGGAUUAUGUGGAUUAAUUCGAUGCAACGCGAAAAACCUUACCUACCCUUGACAUGUACGGAAUUCCGCAGAGAUGUGGAAGUGCCCGAAAGGGAACCGUAACACAGGUGCUGCAUGGCUGUCGUCAGCUCGUGUCGUGAGAUGUUGGGUUAAGUCCCGCAACGAGCGCAACCCUUGUCGUUAAUUGCCAUCAUUUAGUUGGGCACUUUAACGAGACCGCCGGUGACAAACCGGAGGAAGGUGGGGAUGACGUCAAGUCCUCAUGGCCCUUAUGGGUAGGGCUUCACACGUAAUACAAUGGGUCCGUUACCAGAGGGCUGCCAACCCGCAAGGGGGAGCUAAUCCCAGAAAGCCGAUCGUAGUCCGGAUUGUAGUCUGCAACUCGACUGCAUGAAGCCGGAAUCGCUAGUAAUCGCGGAUCAAGCAUGUCGCGGUGAAUACGUUCCCGGGUCUUGUACACACCGCCCGUCACACCAUGGGAGUGGGUUCCACCAGAAGUAGUAGCCUAACCGCAAGGGGGC
RNAcentral lists this ribosomal RNA (1389 nucleotides) under uncultured beta proteobacterium. RNAcentral's name for it is "16S ribosomal RNA". It matches the Rfam family "Bacterial small subunit ribosomal RNA". The record is from RNAcentral. Lineage: Bacteria; Pseudomonadati; Pseudomonadota; Betaproteobacteria.